RNAcentral lists this long non-coding RNA (434 nucleotides) under Cricetulus griseus (Chinese hamster). RNAcentral's name for it is "lncRNA (ENSCGRG00015031640.1)". Lineage: Eukaryota; Metazoa; Chordata; Mammalia; Rodentia; Cricetidae. The record is from RNAcentral.
CUGAAAGCCAGACUCUCAGAAAAUCUCGUGACAUAGGGAGAGAUGUGAAGUCAAGAGAAUUUCAGUUGCAUGAGAUUAUUUUCAGCAUUUGGGAGACCCUCAAAGGAAACCUUCAAGUACAGCCGGGGAGAUGAUGACUCUGAGGAUGGAGCAUGAGCAGUGACUGUGUUAGGACCUGGGAUGGAAUCUCCAGAAAGCACAUGAACACCAGGAGAAAUCACACAGCCCUCAGAUGCCAGAUUGAAGAUGCGGAGCAGGAGACCCUGAGAGAUUGCUGAACUCAUGUCUGAAGUAGUCACGGGAACUCUUGGUGGAGCUGGAGUCAGAGUCUGCUGUGAGCAGGAAGGAAGCAGGAUGAUCUGUCUGGAGAAGCUAAGUAACAAGGAGGAUCCUAAGAGAGGCAUACACUGUGCCCCUGGAAAAGGGAAAAGGAC